This 696-nucleotide ribosomal RNA is filed under the name Triticum aestivum (bread wheat). RNAcentral's name for it is "partial small subunit ribosomal RNA". Lineage: Eukaryota; Viridiplantae; Streptophyta; Magnoliopsida; Poales; Poaceae. The record is from RNAcentral.
AUGGCCGGGUCGACGGCGGUUGGGUGCGCGGUUGUGGAGGCUGCGUGGCGGCGGCGCGCCCUGCAAAUCUGGUGUGGUGGCGGCUCUGGUGGUUGGGGAUCUGCAGGCGGCGCGGGGAGGUGGUGGCAGCCCAUCAUGGGUCGCUGCAGCGGGGUCGCGCGGCUUGGCCUUCGGUCUAGCUGCGAGGUGGGCGGCGGUCUCAUGCUGGCAGUGCAGAUCCAUCACAGAUCUGGCAUGGCGGCGCAGGCCCCGCGAGGUGGUGGCGGGCGGCACUGGCGGCGGGGCUGCUGUGGCUUGGGCGGCGGUUGCCUGCGUCUGGUGAUGCGACAGCGGGUGGCGGUGCAAGGGUGGUGGUGGUUCGUGCUGGUGGCGACGGUGUGGGCUUCGGCCGGCCCUUGCGUGCGGCGACCUUUGGCGGCAAGGGUGGUGGCGUUCCUGCUGCCGGGAUGGCCCGGGGCUGCUCCUCGGGGUCCCGGUGUGGAUGUGUGGGCUGCCACGGCGUGGUGGUGGCUCAUGACGGUGGUCUGGGUCAUUUCAUGGCGGCGGCUGGACUUCGGCAUCGGCCGGUCGGCUUCAAGCUUAUUCAAAUUUCUUCAGCUGGGAGCUCCUGUAAAGAGAGGUACCGGUGGAAGGGUGUACCUACAUGUAGGGCAUGAGGAGGAGCUAGAGCGCCCACCUAAACUGGAGCUGCAGUAA